AGCUUGCUCUUCGGCGGUUAGCGGCGGACGGGUGAGUAACACGUAGGCAACCUGCCUGUACGACUGGGAUAACUCCGGGAAACCGGAGCUAAUACCGGAUACGUUUUUCAGACCGCAUGGUCUGAAAGAGAAAGACCUUUGGUCACGUACAGAUGGGCCUGCGGCGCAUUAGCUAGUUGGUGGGGUAACGGCCUACCAAGGCGACGAUGCGUAGCCGACCUGAGAGGGUGAUCGGCCACACUGGGACUGAGACACGGCCCAGACUCCUACGGGAGGCAGCAGUAGGGAAUCUUCCGCAAUGGACGAAAGUCUGACGGAGCAACGCCGCGUGAACGAUGAAGGUUUUCGGAUCGUAAAGUUCUGUUGUUAGGGAAGAACCGCCGGGAUGACCUCCCGGUCUGACGGUACCUAACGAGAAAGCCCCGGCUAACUACGUGCCAGCAGCCGCGGUAAUACGUAGGGGGCAAGCGUUGUCCGGAAUUAUUGGGCGUAAAGCGCGCGCAGGCGGCUUCUUAAGUCAGGUGUGAAAGCCCACGGCUCAACCGUGGAGGGCCACUUGAAACUGGGAGGCUUGAGUGCAGGAGAGGAGAGCGGAAUUCCACGUGUAGCGGUGAAAUGCGUAGAGAUGUGGAGGAACACCCGUGGCGAAGGCGGCUCUCUGGCCUGUAACUGACGCUGAGGCGCGAAAGCGUGGGGGAGCGAACAGGAUUAGAUACCCUGGUAGUCCACGCCGUAAACGUUGAGUGCUAGGUGUUGGGGAC
Molecule: ribosomal RNA, 761 nt
Filed under: Aneurinibacillus aneurinilyticus
Lineage: Bacteria; Bacillati; Bacillota; Bacilli; Caryophanales; Paenibacillaceae
Description: bacterial SSU rRNA
Rfam family: Bacterial small subunit ribosomal RNA
Source: RNAcentral